This 69-nucleotide antisense RNA is filed under the name Micromonospora sp. M71_S20. RNAcentral's name for it is "ASpks TB sRNA". It matches the Rfam family "ASpks TB sRNA". Lineage: Bacteria; Bacillati; Actinomycetota; Actinomycetes; Micromonosporales; Micromonosporaceae. The record is from RNAcentral.
CUUCACCGAACCGAGCAGCAGUGGCCGGUCCCGGUCCUGCCCGUACGUCGCCAGCAACGCCUCGGCCUC